Molecule: ribosomal RNA, 900 nt
Filed under: uncultured bacterium
Lineage: Bacteria
Description: bacterial SSU rRNA
Rfam family: Bacterial small subunit ribosomal RNA
Source: RNAcentral
AGAGUUUGAUCCUGGCUCAGGACGAACGCUGGCGGCGUGCCUAACACAUGCAAGUCGAACGGGGUCCAUGGGAGCUUGCUCCCGGAAGACCUAGUGGCGAACGGGUGAGUAACACGUGAGGAACCUGCCUCGGAGUGGGGAAUAACUCGGGGAAACUCGAGCUAAUACCGCAUACCCUCGGAUGAUCGCAUGGUCGCCCGAGGAAAGAUUUAUCGCUCUGAGAGGGCCUCGCGGCCUAUCAGCUAGUUGGUGGGGUAACGGCCUACCAAGGCAACGACGGGUAGCUGGUUUGAGAGAACGAUCAGCCACACUGGGACUGAGACACGGCCCAGACUCCUACGGGAGGCAGCAGUGGGGGAUCUUGCGCAAUGGGCGAAAGCCUGACGCAGCAACGCCGCGUGCGGGAUGACGGCCUUCGUGGUUGUAAACCGCUUUCAGCAGGGACGAAACUGACGGUACCUGCAGAAGAAGCCCCGGCUAACUACGUGCCAGCAGCCGCGGUAAUACGUAGGGGGCAAGCGUUGUCCGGAUUCAUUGGGCGUAAAGAGCUCGUAGGCGGUUCAGUAAGUCAGGUGUUAAAGCUCCGAGCUCAACUCGGAGAGGCCAUCUGAUACUGCUGUGACUGGAAUCCAGUAGGGGAGCGUGGAAUUCCUGGUGUAGCGGUGAAAUGCGCAGAUAUCAGGAGGAACACCAGCGGCGAAGGCGGCGCUCUGGGCUGAGAUUGACGCUGAGGAGCGAAAGUGUGGGUAGCAAACAGGAUUAGAUACCCUGGUAGUCCACACCGUAAACGUUGGGCACUAGGUGUGGGGAGGAAUCAACCCUUUCCGUGCCGUAGCUAACGCAUUAAGUGCCCCGCCUGGGGAGUACGGCCGCAAGGCUAAAACUCAAAGGAAUUGACGG